This 253-nucleotide ribosomal RNA is filed under the name uncultured bacterium. Its description in RNAcentral is "partial 16S ribosomal RNA". It matches the Rfam family "Bacterial small subunit ribosomal RNA", at positions 524 to 776 of the family's 1533-position model. The record is from RNAcentral.
GACAGAGGGUGCAAACGUUGUUCGGAAUUACUGGGCGUAAAGCGCGUGUAGGCGGCUCGGAAAGUCGGAUGUGAAAGCCCUGGGCUUAACCUAGGAAGUGCAUUCGAAACUCCCGAGCUUGAGUUCUGGAGAGGAAGGCGGAAUUCUCGGUGUAGAGGUGAAAUGCGUAGAUAUCUGGAGGAACACCGGUGGCGAAGGCGGCAUCCUGGACCAACACUGACACUGAAUCGCGAAAGCUAGGGGAGCAAACGGG